GAUGAACGCUAGCGGGAGGCUUAACACAUGCAAGUCGAGGGGCAGCAUAGGGUAGCAAUACUCUGAUGGCGACCGGCAAACGGGUGAGUAACGCGUAUGCAACCUACCCUGUACAGGGGGAUAACCCGGAGAAAUUCGGACUAAUAUCCCGUAAUAAUAUCCGGAGGCAUCUUUGGAUAUUUAAAGUUCCGACGGUACGGGAUGGGCAUGCGUAACAUUAACUGGUUGGUAAGGUAACGGCUUACCAAGGCUAUGAUGUUUAGGGGUCCUGAGAGGGUGGUCCCCCACACUGGUACUGAGACACGGACCAGACUCCUACGGGAGGCAGCAGUGAGGAAUAUUGGUCAAUGGGCGCAAGCCUGAACCAGCCAUCCCGCGUGCAGGAAGACGGCCCUAUGGGGUUGUAAACUGCUUUUCCAGGGAGAGAAACUUACGCACGUGUUGCGUGACUGACGGUACCCUGGGAAUAAGCAUCGGCUAACUCCGUG
This 488-nucleotide ribosomal RNA is filed under the name uncultured bacterium. RNAcentral's name for it is "bacterial SSU rRNA". It matches the Rfam family "Bacterial small subunit ribosomal RNA", at positions 28 to 507 of the family's 1533-position model. The record is from RNAcentral.